Molecule: long non-coding RNA, 555 nt
Organism: Rosa chinensis
Lineage: Eukaryota; Viridiplantae; Streptophyta; Magnoliopsida; Rosales; Rosaceae
Exons: 7
Source: RefSeq, a predicted model, not a curated record
GUGGUUUGAUGUUGUUCUGCAUCUACCUGGGAGGAGUACUGCUGUCGUCUUUGAGUUUUGGAUAAUAGGAUUUUGAAUAGAGACAAGCAGAGAGGAUAUUUAGUUUUUGGGAUAUAAAUUCAACAAGGAUUGCUUGGUUAUUCAGUGGUCAGGAGAAAAUCCUAACAGAUUAGCAGGCUUAACCCUAAGUACCCCAGGGGAUCUUGGAUUGAGUCUUGACACGAGGGAUACUGUCUUUGGUAUUACUGAUGAUCCUCAACCUGGAUUAGAAGGACAUGUUUUCCCUAAUCCUGUUGACACGAAAAGCUACAUAGUAAUGUUGUGUUACAAGAAUGGGUCUCCAGCUCGUGAAGGUAUUCAGAACCGCUAUUGCGAAGGUUCUUGGGAUAGAUUCAACACAUAUCUUACAUAUGCCAAGCCCCUAAAUGAUGGAAAGAUGAGUUUCUACUAUACGGAGCAUGAAAUUCUUCCCCCACUUCCAGUUGGAUUUCAUCGCUACAUUCUUGAAAAUUUCACCGGUGACACUUCGGAGGGUGUGACUGUACGGGAAAUGGG